This is a non-coding RNA of Phalacrocorax carbo (great cormorant), 229 nucleotides long. Lineage: Eukaryota; Metazoa; Chordata; Aves; Suliformes; Phalacrocoracidae. The record is from RefSeq and is a predicted model, not a curated record.
GGGCCAGGGUCAGGGUGUCGGGCCCAGGGUGUCGGGCCGGGGUCAGGGUACGAUUCCUUCAGCGAAGGGCUGCCGGAGGGGGGUGGUCGCCCCUCGCCCGUCGCCGUUUGAGGGGAGAACAUCCUUAACAACGCGCUCUAAGCCUGCGUCAGCCCCGGCGCUGCCGUAGGCGCUCCCUUUUCGCUCUGAAAUAUCCCGUUUUCUUCCGCUUUAGCCGAUUUCACCCUCU